AGUGAACGCUGGCGGUAGGCCUAACACAUGCAAGUCGAACGGCAGCACAGUAAGAGCUUGCUCUUACAGGUGGCGAGUGGCGGACGGGUGAGGAAUACAUCGGAAUCUACUUUUUCGUGGGGGAUAACGUAGGGAAACUUACGCUAAUACCGCAUACGACCUACGGGUGAAAGCAGGGGAUCUUCGGACCUUGCGCGAUUGAAUGAGCCGAUGUCGGAUUAGCUAGUUGGCGGGGUAAAGGCCCACCAAGGCGACGAUCCGUAGCUGGUCUGAGAGGAUGAUCAGCCACACUGGAACUGAGACACGGUCCAGACUCCUACGGGAGGCAGCAGUGGGGAAUAUUGGACAAUGGGCGCAGGCCUGAUCCAGCCAUACCGCGUGGGUGAAGAAGGCCUUCGGGUUGUAAAGCCCUUUGUUGGGAAAGAAAAGCAGCAGGUUAAUACCCCGCUGUUCUGACGGUACCCAAAGAAUAAGCACCGGCUAACUUCGUG
This 491-nucleotide ribosomal RNA is filed under the name uncultured bacterium. Its description in RNAcentral is "partial 16S ribosomal RNA". It matches the Rfam family "Bacterial small subunit ribosomal RNA", at positions 29 to 507 of the family's 1533-position model. The record is from RNAcentral.